CCGCUCUUGGUCUAGUUGGUUAUGGCCCUCGGCUGUAAAUGUUGAAUUUGUAUUUCUUGGGAAAAUGAAGUAUUAAAGAUACCGAGUGGUCCCCGGUUCGAUUCCGGGAGAGCGGA
Molecule: transfer RNA, 116 nt
Filed under: Pneumocystis murina B123
Lineage: Eukaryota; Fungi; Ascomycota; Pneumocystomycetes; Pneumocystales; Pneumocystaceae
Rfam family: tRNA
About the family: Transfer RNA (tRNA) molecules are approximately 80 nucleotides in length. Their secondary structure includes four short double-helical elements and three loops (D, anti-codon, and T loops).
Source: Rfam by way of RNAcentral